AAAGCUGGGGACCCUUUUGAGCAUCACUUGGAUGCAAAACUGUUUUGUCACAAGAAGAGGAAGGACCUUGAUGGAGAGGGGCUCAGGAGUUGAGCAGAGCUAGCUCUUCAGGCAUGAGGUGAUGAAGGAAGCCUGUCUCCUGACCCAAAGUGGUGCAGUGGCUGUCUCUGAGCAGAUGGGCAGUGGAUGCUUUCUCUGUAUGUCUCUCUCACUCCUAGGAAACCUGCACAAUAUGCUUUUCAAGUCUGCUGUUCCAGAAGAGCAACUAAACACCUGCUGAACUUUGAUCCUCUGUCAAGGAAUAAAGCUGAAUUGAGGGGGAAAGGAGCGUUUAUUCCCAGUGGGUAAAGAGAGGAAGGCUGAAAUGAAGGAUUUUCUCCAAUGAGCAGCAAACCCCACCUUUGAAUUUCCAGUAAAUCUAUUGGGAGUACAAAGCAAACCAAUCAAAAAACGUCAAGGUGUAUUUACUGUCCUAUUAACCUGGUGGCCCAUUCCCUCUCUGGCACACGCUGGCAGCACACAAAGGUACAUCCCAGUGCUGGGGAGGGAGCGUGGCUGUGAGCCCAGCUGGGGCAAGGUGACCAAAUGGCUCCUGGCUCCUGCUCUCCAGCCAUGACAGCAUGGAAAGGGGGUGCUGGAGGUGAGCCUGUUCUGGGAACAGUGGUGCUUGGGGGCUGUGCCAGUCCUUUGUGCUGGCUGCUCUCAACGAGGCAGAAAUUUAAUUGUAACAAGGAACUCGCACACGCUUAUCUGCAGCUGAAGCCAAAGCAGCUUCUGUUAGAGAUCACCUAGACUUGACUGCUGUCAAAUACUGGCUGCAAGUGAGAUGGGUUUCCUGAAUGCUGUAUUUUUACUUGGUGACACAUCUAGAACUUUUGGAAAGGGGUUUUUUAAAAUGCUUGUCUUUAAGGUUUUUGCAGGUGUCUUUUUUACUGUUUUUUUUCAUGAAAAGAGAAUUGGGCAAUCACAGAAUUGUGAUGAAAAGUUGCCUCUUAUUCUCUUGCUUCAUAGCCCAUGGCCAUCCUGAAGAAUAAAGGAAAUGCUGAUAAAUUGGGCAUAUUCCCCAUCUACUGUUCCUCUGUGCCAUCCUCAGAGCAUGUCCUGCUCCUAGCUGCUCUGUUAACUUGUCUCUGCAUAUAACACUCGCUACAUAAAACACAACUGGGUGCUUUUCGCUCUGAUUAAAAUCAUGCUGUGCAAUAGGAAAUACAAAUUAGCUCUGGCCUUUGGGCUCCUGACAAGUUUCCAGCACCGCUUUCAACACCACAGAGAUUGUGUAACUCCAUCUGUGUCUGCUCUGUGUGGUGACGUCUCCCCCUCCGUCAUGAGCUGGGCUGGCUGCCACUCAUCCAGGUUCAGCUGCUAAUACUUCAAGCAGCUUUUAGAAGUGAAGGAGGAAGAGAUGGUGCCAGCAGCUGGGUUAGCUUUUCCUUGCUAGAGGACUAUGUGGGAAGGGUUAAAAGGAGGAGGACUUCCUAGGUAAUUCCCCUAAUCUUGAUGUUUGUGCAAACGCCUCCCUUUUGAAUGAAUGACUGGGGAGCUCAGCACUGGAGAGCCAAUGCUUCAGCACAAGAUUAACCCCUGAAGGAGGAGCACAGUAGUCGCUUAUUCAAACUAAGCUAAAGUUUGUGUUUCUGUGAAGCGCACGGCACUUUCCUGCCUCCUCCAGGGAUUCAAGCCAGGCGUGCUGUCUUACAUCAUCUCAGCGUUGCUCUCUCAAGGGCUGAGGCUCCAGCUAUCGUGUCACGUUUUCAGCAGAAACCUUUUAAGUCUCGGCGACUUCCUCUGGCGAUGUUGAAGCAAACAGUGCCCAGACCUGUGAGUGAACGAGUUGCAAAUGACAUCGCCGGUUUGAAACGCUGCGUGGGCACGACGUGGGCGAAUGUUCCCUGCACUGGGUGUUUUCUAAAGCCUGAGUUGCAGCUGGGCCAUCUCUUUGUCUGCUGGAUAUCAUCUCUGGUGUUUAUUUGGCUGUCCCUGUCCUGCUGGGUGACAGCCACCAUCCUUGUGGCUGAUGGUUGUGAGUUCUCCCCUCCUCCCAAAAGACAAGUAGGCAUAUUUGUGGGUACCUGUAUGUGGUUCAGCCAGAACUACCAGAAAACUCCCCUUUCUCCCUUCUGGCAACCUCCCUGCCCUGCUGUCCCUUCUUUAUCUUCCCUUUAUGCCAUGUACAGUGUAUGGCAUGUGGUCUGAGAGAUGCACAAAGCCAGGCAUGGGCUUUGGAUGCUUUUAUUGUGCAACAGUGAGUGCCUUCUUCUCCCAUACCCUCUUCUCUACUAAUGUGCAGUGUGCUGGUUGUUAUGUCUUUGAUAAGAAAAAGCUUCUUGCUAAGACCCUCACCUGUAGUCAUAAGCCAGCAUUCUAGAGCUACCAAUAAAUCACUUUUCCCUGCUGAUAGCAGCCCUCAGCCCUGUAGACCUUGCUGGAGGUCUGUGAAUGGCUAGAGAAUAACACACUAGUGGAUGAAGGAUGUUGCACAGCAAAGGUUGUCUGUGAAGAUGAUGUGCCUGUAGAUUCAUUCUGUAGAGUGUGCAGAAUGAAAUUUGAUUGCUGACUUCAACCACAGCAGAAUUCCCACACUGAGUCCCUAGCAAUGGCCCAAUGUGACCUGUGCUUAGCACCAUGACCCAAACCCCACUAAGAUCCUGACUCCACACUGGCCCAUACAACAGUGAGCUGUACCUGACCCAUAUAUGCACAAGCAUGUAUUACAGUACUAGGCAACAGUAUGAUCUUCCUAUCAUUCUAGUUCUUCAGUCCUAAGAUCUUCUUCCUAUUUCUGGCAUUUUCUCUGCCUUCCACUGUCCACCCAUGGCAAUACAUCACCCUAAACUUAAGCCUGAGCACGUCCAUCAUCCCUACAGGCUUCAUUGGAAGCCACUUGAUGUGGUUGAUUCAAGUGCCUCUGCAGGUUUAUCUCAUAAUGAUAAGAAACAGGUAGCAGGCCUUACAAUUUCUCCCCAAUACUCACAUUAUUCAAGAAGAAUCCUAUACUUUAAGCCCUUUUAUCCCACAGCCUGAUUCUAGCCUUAAGGAUAAACUAUCAGCCAGCAUUCCUUCAGUCACAAGCAGAAGCAUUGUGCCUUACUGACUACCAGCACUCAGGCCUGCCCUGAAGAGCAAGUAAAGAGGAGGUGCUCUCUAGUCCUUGGUGUCCCAACCUCUAACCCUGACUUUCGUGUCUGAAGAUCCAAUGCUCAUUACUUACAGUCCUGUACCUCUGAGUGCCAGAUCCACUCACCCCUGCCAGCCCCUGCCCACAUUACCUUGUUUCUAACAGUGUUUCUGCUGGAAUCCAGGCACGGAGAUGGUGGCAGGCAGUGGUACUUGCUCUGUGUACAAGCUGUAAGCUGGGUACAAGAUGGGGCAUGGGGGAGUGAGAGAGUGUCUGUACAUCAGUGAGUGAGCAGGGAGUCGUGGUCUGUGGCACUGAUCACUCUCCUUUCCUAAAACAAGCUUCAUUGUUCCCAUCUUCUUAAUUCUCACUGCCCUUCCACUGGUUGUUCUUCACCAUCUCCAGCCUUUUUCUCCAGCCUUUGGAUUUCCAGAGGUACCAGCUGUUCUAGAGCUGGCUCUUCAGCCCUCCCCAGCCCUCUGUCAUUACUGCCUUGCCUGUUUUUGGCAGUCAGAGCUCAGCCAGAGGCCAAGCAUAUGAACCUAUGUUGCCUCUUAGAAGGCAGUCUGCACACUGUAUUUCACAUUGGUGUGUCUUGCUGGUUGGGAAACAAGAAUGGAGAGUGCUACAGCCUCAGGUGUCUUCUGAUAUCAUUGUGUAGCUGUGAAUAAUGAGCUUGCUUCUGAAGUUUUUUCUGGGAUUAGCCUUUAAACUUGCUUCACUUAAGUAUUUACAUUGAAGGUAGGUAUUGCAUUUUUUGUUUCUGAAUUGUGUUUAGUAAGAUUGUCACAGAAAAGCUCUCCAAGGUUCAGGAAAAAAUACUUAUUAAAAGGGGUUUUGUAAUUGUUACAGUGUGUGGUCCUCAGCUUUCCUGAAUUUUUGUUGUGUUACAUUCAAAUAUAGUCUAGUGUUGUUUGAAAGAAAGCUUGGAAAGAGAAAAGCUGACAGCAGGUCAGACUGAGGGAGGUGGAGCUGCAUUAUGCCACUUUUUUGGCCACAGAUGAAGUUGGUAUUCCCCACCUGGUUAAGGUGCAGCAGACUGAAUCACUAACACACCUUGCUCUGAAAUAAAUCACAGUGGCAAAAUGACAUUGCUUGUGGCAGUAGGCAAAGUGCUUAUUAAAUAGCGAGCGUUACUUUGCAUGCUUAAGAUCACAACUUCUCUCUUGAAAACAAACAAACAAACAAACAAACAAGCAAACAAACAAACAUUUCUUUUUCCACAAUCAAGGCCAGUGAAAGGCAGGUCCCCACAGGGUGCAGAGACCAGCCAGCUUCCUCAUUCUUUGCACUCUCACGGAUGGGUUGCUUUCUUCUAUGUCAAACACUUCCUGAUACACAACACCCGUGCAUUUUUAUGGCCAGUUUGGAUAAAGACAUCACUCCAGCUGGUGACUGCAGCUUCCAGAUAAGACUGACCCUGUGACAGUGUAAGAAACACCCAACUAAGGAGGAAGGAAUUGUGUUUUCAGACUCCAGAGUGGCUACAUAUACUAACAAACACAGAAUUUUGUUGCACAAACACAGAACAACAACUCCAACUGGGACAGUUCUCUUGGUAGUCCUCACAUUAUCUGUGAUUGAUUCUGAAUGAGUUUGCAGGGCCUACCAUUAGAAAGCAACUUCCUGAGUGUGUCAUUAAGGAAUAAAGGGAAACAAUAUUUUUAA
Long non-coding RNA from Oenanthe melanoleuca, 4783 nucleotides. RefSeq lists it as uncharacterized. NCBI's taxonomy places the organism in Eukaryota, Metazoa, Chordata, Aves, Passeriformes, Muscicapidae. The record is from RefSeq and is a predicted model, not a curated record. The transcript is spliced from 5 exons.